Molecule: ribosomal RNA, 168 nt
Filed under: uncultured bacterium
Lineage: Bacteria
Description: partial 16S ribosomal RNA
Rfam family: Bacterial small subunit ribosomal RNA
Source: RNAcentral
GCUAGUAAUCGCAGAUCAGCAUGCUGUGGUGAAUACGUUCCCGGGUCUUGUACACACCGCCCGUCACACCAUGGGAGUCGGAAAUGCCCGAAGUCUGUGACCUAACCGGUAAGGGAGGAGCAGCCGAAGGCAGGUCGGAUGACUGGGGUGAAGUCGUAACAAGGUACC